GAUGAACGCUGGCGGCGUGCCUAAUACAUGCAAGUCGAGCGAACAGAUGAGGAGCUUGCUCCUCUGACGUUAGCGGCGGACGGGUGAGUAACACGUGGAUAACCUACCUAUAAGACUGGGAUAACUUCGGGAAACCGGAGCUAAUACCGGAUAAUAUAUUGAACCGCAUGGUUCAAUAGUGAAAGACGGUUUUGCUGUCACUUAUAGAUGGAUCCGCGCCGCAUUAGAUAGUUGGUAAGGUAACGGCUUACCAAGGCAACGAUGCGUAGCCGACCUGAGAGAGUGAUCGGCGACACUGGAACUGAGACACGGUCCAGACUCCUACGGGAGGCAGCAGUAGGGAAUCUUCCGCAAUGGGCGAAAGCCUGACGGAGCAACGCCGCGCGAGUGAUGAGGGUCUUCGGAGCGUAAAACUCUGUUAUUAGGGAAGAACAAAUGUGUAAGUAACUAUGCACGUCUUGACGGUACCUAAUCAGAAAGCCACGGCUAACUACGUG
RNAcentral lists this ribosomal RNA (497 nucleotides) under uncultured bacterium. RNAcentral's name for it is "partial 16S ribosomal RNA". It matches the Rfam family "Bacterial small subunit ribosomal RNA", at positions 28 to 507 of the family's 1533-position model. The record is from RNAcentral.